UAAAUAUCUCCCGUUUUCACCAUUGUAAGAUUCUCAUUGAUACACAAAAACUCUGGCAAAAAUUAUUUAGUGUUCAUUGCUAUUUUGCUGUAGAUCAACCCAGCUGAAUCAAUACGAAUUAUUUCCUGUCUUUUUUUUUUUGAUAAUUGAUUAUUUACUUUGUUAUCGUUAUGACGUUGUUUUCAUUAUCUUUACAGAGGAUAGUUGAAUUUAGUUUAAUCAUAUUGCUUUUGGCCCUAAUCUCUCUAUUAAUUGUUUAGUCUAAUAACCAAUUGUCUUAGCUUAGGUUGAACACAAAUCUUCUUUUACCUUGGUACAUUAUCACAAAACUACAUCUUGAAGUGAACCAAUCGUAGGUUAUGGUAAUUGGUAUAGGAAAAAAAUAUCCUCCAUGUUCAUAGGAAACGAACAAAUAAUGUUAUGAAGGGGAUUGAAUCAGUUAACAACAAAGGUCAGCACGUUAAUUAAUUAAUUAAUUAACAUAUCCAAAUUGCUGCAGUGGAGAUUAGUGUUUGAGAAUAAAAGGGCGGUGUUACCAGAUUUCACAUGAUUUGAUCUAGAUUAUAAUAAUCCAUAAUUGAAAAUUAUUUUUUAAUGUUAUCUUUUAACUGUAAUUAUAUUUAUUUAUAAUGGAUAGUGCUCUUUGUGGGUGGUAGUAAACUUAGGAAGUCCUUCUCUUUCACAUUUGAUCUUGAUAGCUAUCCACCAUUAAUAAGUUCUUAUUUGCUUAUUAUUCUCGUAUUAGUUAAAUGUGAUGGUCAACUUUAAGAAGAGGAAAAUAGCUAAAUUUGUUUAGUGCUAUUUCCUUCGUCCAUCUUUACUUAUCUGGUAUGUUAAAAGAGUUAGAAAAUUACAUAAGAUGGCCCGCAUAGUGAUGGCUUUGAAUUUGUGUUCUCCACAAGAAAAGUCUUUAAAAACUAACCUUCCUUUCUUUUUAUGUAAAAAACAAAUCAUUUUGCCCCUUUACGCCUCAAAUAUUUUCAAACGAUUCAUGCUCAUUUGUCUCUCAACUUCUAUUUUUAUUUUUAUUUUUUCUUAAUUUUUAUUUAUUUUUUCUUUUUUUCUUAUUUUAAUUCAUUUAUCUCAAUCUUUAUUUUUCUUUUAUUUUUUUUUCCUUUUUCUUUUUUUUCCUCAACCAUUAUCUAUUUCUUUCUCUUUUUUUUUUAUUUCUUUUUUUUAGUUUAUUUGUCUCAACCUUUUUUUUACUUUUUUGUUUUUAUCAUUCCUCUUCUUUUUUUAUCAAAAAUUAUUUUUAAUUCUUUUUCUUCUCAUUUUUGCUCAAUUUUUAUUUAUUUUCUUUUUUUAUUCUUCUCUUUUUUCUUAACUUUUAUUUUUUUUCUUCUCUUUUUGUCCUUUUUCUCAAAUUCUAUUAUAUGUUUCUAAUAAAUAGAAAGUUGGAUAAUCCGUAAAGAGAUCUUCUUUCUUUGACAUCAAAGUAAAUUUAAGGGCAUGACUUGUAAUUUAAAAUUCCUUUGGAAUAAGUCUUGUCUCUAUGACAAAAGUUAUAGACACAUCUCAUAAUUUAGACACAAUGUGGUAGUUUCAAAUCUUAUUCGUGGGACAUAACUUGUUAUUUGAAAAUCUUUGAGUUAAGUCUUGCCGCUAAGGCAAGAGUUAUAAAACAUCUCAUAAAUUAAGACACAAUGUGAUAGUGUCAACACUUGCCUAUUGGGUGUAACUGGGCUAAGUCUUAUAGAGACAAAACUAAUAAAGUAUUACAUAAAUCAAGACACAAUAUGGUAGUGUCAAAUCUUAUUCAUGGGACUUAACUUGUGGGCUAAGUCUUGCCUCUAAGGAAAGAAUUAUAGAACAUCUCAUAAAUUAAGACACGAUGUGGUAGUGUCAACUCUUGUCCACGGGGAGUAACUUGUUGUUUGAAAGUCGUUGGACAAAGUCGUGCCUCUAAGGAAAGAGUUAUAGAACAUCUCAUAAAUCAAGACAUAAUGUGGUAGUAUCAACUCUUACCCAUAACUUGUUGUUUGAAAGUCUUGAUAAAUAAAACAUCUCAUAAUACAAUACACAAUGUGGUAGUAUCAAUUUUUGCCCAUGGGACAUAACUUGUUAUUUAAAAGUCAUUGGACAAGUCUUGCUUCUAGGGCAAGAGUUAAAGAGUAUCUCAUAAAUCAAAACAUAACGUGGUAGUGUCAACUCUUACCCAUGGUGCGUAACUUGUUAUUUGAAAGUCUUUGGAUUAAGUCUUGCCUCUAUGGCAAGAGCUAUAGAGUAUCUCAUAAAUAUAAACAUAAUGUGGUGUGUUAAUUCUUACCUAUGGGGUAUAACUUGUUGUUUGAAAGUUCUUGGGUUAAGUUUUGCCUCUAAGGUAAGAUUUAUAGAACAUCUCAUAAAUUAAAACACAAUGUGGUAGUGUUAACAUUUGCCCAUGGAACGUAACUUACUGCUUGAAAGCCCUUGGUCUAAGUCUUGCCUCUAAGGGAGGAGUUAUAGAUCAUUUCAUAAGUAAAAAACACAAUGAGGUAGUUUUGCUUCUUUUCCAAUAUACGUAACUUGUUGUUUGAAAAUCUUUGAGAUAAGUUGUGCCUCUAAGGCAAGAGUUGUAGAACUUCUCAUAAAUCAAGACAUAACGUGGUAGUGUCAACUCUUGCCCCUGGCAUAACUUGUUAUUUGAAAGUCCUUGAACUAAGUCUUGCCUCUAAGGUACGAGUUAUAGAAUAUCUCAUAACUCAAAAACACAAUGUAAUAGUGUCAACUCUUGCCCAUGAAACGUAACUUAUUAUUUGAAAAUCCUAAGUGUUGUCUCUAAGGCAAGAUUUAUAGCACAUAUCAUAAAUCAAGAUAUAAUAUGGUAGUUUCAACUCUUGCCCAUGAGGUGUAACUUUUUAUUUGGAAGGAAUUGAAGAAAAGAAAAGUAAUAAAAGUUGCGAAAAAAAGAAAAAAUGAAGAAAAAAUAUUUAAAAGGAAAAAAUAGAAAUCAAAGAAAAAAGUAUAGAAGUUGAGAGGAUAAAGAAACAAAAAUAAAGGUUGAGGAAAAAAAUAAAGGUUGAGAAAAGUUAAAACAAGAAAAAAAGAGAAGAAAAAAUGAAAACCAUAGAAAGAAAAGAGAUUUGUUUUGUAAAAAAAAGAGAAGUCGAGAGGAGAAAAGAACUAAAAGUAAGGAUUGAGAAAAACUAAAAAUAAAAAAUAAAAAUCAAAGUAAAAUAAAAAGAGAAAAAAAAAAAUAGAAGUUGAGAGGAGAAAAGGUAAAAAAGUAAGGGUUGAGAAAAAUGAAAAAAAUAAAAAAUAAAAAUCAAAGUAAAAUAAAAAAGAGAAAAAAUAGAAGUUGAAAAAUAAAUAAGCAUAAAAUUAUUUAGAAAUAUUUGAGAUAUAGAUAUAGGGGUGGGCAUUCGGUUUGUUUGGUUAGUUGUUUAAUAUCGAUUUAUUUUUUCAAUUUUCGGAUUGACGAAAAUGACAACCAUAACCAAACCAAAAUAAAUUCAAUUUGGUUCGAUUUCUACAAAUUUGGCUCGAUUAUUUCGAAUUUUUAUUUCAGUUUUGAAGAUUAAAGUAGUGAGCAUUUCUUUGUCAUGACUAGACAUUUAAAUUGAUUUUUUUAGAAAAAUAAUUUUUUUCAAACUUAUUUUUCAUUCCCAAAUAUAAAUAACUCAACAUGAAUGAAAUGAAAUAGCCAUGAGUUUAACAUAACAUAUAACUUCAUUAUGCAUAAGUUUACAUAAAAAGUCCACAAAAUAAGUCAAUAAUUGUCAAUCAGUGUUAAAAUAAGUUAUAAUUAGGGACAUAACUCGUAAGACG
RNAcentral lists this long non-coding RNA (3747 nucleotides) under Capsicum annuum. RNAcentral describes it as "long non-coding RNA (CANN_LNC011228)". The record is from RNAcentral. Lineage: Eukaryota; Viridiplantae; Streptophyta; Magnoliopsida; Solanales; Solanaceae.